CCAAGUUCUUCAGCUUUGGGACACAGACUGGCUUCCUUGCUCUUCAGCUUACAGAUGGCCUGUCAUGGGACCUCACCUUGUGAUCCCGAGACUCUACUGGGUACUUCAGAGAUCCCCAAACACUGGUCAUCUGUGACCUGAAGUUCCACACAAGUGCAUCUCUAUUAACCAUGCUGACCAGUUGUUUCUCAUCCUCCAUGUUGCUCCUCCAGAUUUUUGGCUCAACAAAAAUACCCUCGUUGUUUUGUGGUUCUAUCCAUAUGCUUUUUCUGACAGUUUUACUUACUUCUUUUAGGAAUGCUGCACUUAUCUUGUCCAUUACCCCUUCUUCAAGUGUUUAUAUAUAUCUCAACCAACUCUUUCACAAUAUUUGUUGAUGUGGCCACCUGAAAAAAAAAAACUCUCCAUGUAGUGGAAAGUUUACUAAAUCUGGGAGCAGUUUACCCCAUUGCUUGACUCUGAAUUCUGAUAUAAAAUUCUUCAUAUUAGGCAAAACUCUUUAUACUUAUAGUUUUUCUAAAUUGAUUCUGGUUUUCUUUUUGAAGCCUCUUCCAUGUAAGAUGCCUUUGAAUAUUUUUAGAUAUUUAUUAUGCCAUUUCAAGUCUUCUCUUCUUCAUUAAAGAGAAACAUCCUUAGUUCAAAGUAGUUUGAUGCUGGCCCACCCAGCUGGCCUCCACCUCCUUCAACAGCACCAUCAAAAGUACUCCUUCUAUAGCACUUCCAGUCCAGAGUUCUGGCCUCUAUUGAAAUACUGAUUUGCUGGUCUGUUCAUCUAGAGUCUAACUCCCUGAAUAGCAAAUGUGCUGGAUAGGCUACUUCCUAAGACCAGAGAAUCCUACUCCUGACAUCAGGGACCUGCAUUUAUCAAUGAUAAACCCACCAUAUAUCCCGUUCCUGUGAAAACUAUAUACCUUUCCCCAUGUUAUCCUAAUUGCACUGCACGAUGCUGGCAUCUGCUGAUCCAGCUGCCGACCAUCUCUCUCCCUUUCAAAACUGCACAAUUCCUCUGGAACUUCAUUUCGUAUUAAAUAUAACCCCAUAGAUACUCAAACUUUUUAGUAAACAUUCCAUACACUUUAUUUCAUUAGCUGAAAACUGCUUCCUUUCCUGUUUACACCUCCCUAAAAGCUGACAUGAUUCCAUCAUGUAUUGUCCAAACUGGGAUAUUUUUUAGAGUAAAUAGAUAAAACCAUUAGUAAUUACAAUAUGAGAUUAGGGGUAAACUGGGACUGGGACUGCCCUGAACAAACCAGGAUGUAUGUCCAUAAUAGUUUCCUGGGGCUGCCAUAAGAAAUGACCAUAAAUGAGUGGUUCAAGGUAACAGAAAUGUAUUCACAUAUAGUUGAGGAAACUAGAAGUCUGCAGUCAAGAUGUCAGCAGGUUUCCUUCCUUUCAGAGGCUCUGAGGGAGAAGAAAUCUCAUGUUUCUCUCCUAGCUUCUUGUGGUUGCCAACAAUUCUUUGCUGUACCUUGACUUUUAGAUACAUCACUCCGAUCUCUGCCCAUAUUGUCACAUUGCCUACUUAACUGUGUCACUCUCUUCUCCUACUCUAUCUCUUGUUAGGGCUUACACUAAAUGUCAGAGUCAUUUUAAUCCCAUAUGAUCUUACCUUGAUCUUUAAUUACAUCUGCCAAGAGCCUUAGUCCAAAUAAGGUUACAUUGUGAAGUUCAGGUCGGAAUGGAUUUUUGAGGGACAUAGUUCAACACACCACAAUGGUCAAACUACCUACAGGAUGAUGGUUCUUCUCCCACAGUCCAUAGCUUUUGGAGUUGUGAGGUGCAGUUAACACAUUCUCUCCCCGUGCCAUUUCUACAUUAUUCCUUCAUCUUGUAUUAAAAUAUCCCUCUUGAUACUCAUGUCAGUUGGUUAAAUCAUAUUCCUUUUUUUUUGUUUCAAUCUCAGUCAAGUCCCUUCUUUUAUCAAAACCUAUUUAAGUUCAACA
Molecule: long non-coding RNA, 1943 nt
Filed under: Homo sapiens (human)
Lineage: Eukaryota; Metazoa; Chordata; Mammalia; Primates; Hominidae
Description: HSALNT0203841
Source: RNAcentral